CCUACGGGAGGCAGCAGUGGGGAAUAUUGCACAAUGGGGGAAACCCUGAUGCAGCGACGCCGCGUGAGUGAAGAAGUAUUUCGGUAUGUAAAGCUCUAUCAGCAGGGAAGAAAAUGACGGUACCUGACUAAUAAGCCCCGGCUAACUACGUGCCAGCAGCCGCGGUAAUACGUAGGGGGCAAGCGUUAUCCGGAUUUACUGGGUGUAAAGGGAGCGUAGACGGGCAGGCAAGUCAGAAGUGAAAGCCCAGGGCUCAACCCUGGGACUGCAUUUGAAACUGCUGGUCUAGAGUGCGGGAGAGGUAGGCGGAAUUCUUGGUGUAGCGGUGAAAUGUGUAGAUAUUAGGAGGAACACCAGUGGCGAAGGCGGCUUACUGGACUGUAACUGACGUUGAGGCUCGAAAGCGUGGGGAGCAAACAGGAUUAGAUACCCGUGUAGUC
Molecule: ribosomal RNA, 440 nt
Filed under: uncultured bacterium
Lineage: Bacteria
Description: partial 16S ribosomal RNA
Rfam family: Bacterial small subunit ribosomal RNA
Source: RNAcentral